AUGCGCCGGAUAACCACCAAGCACUGGGGGCCUUACCGCCGCACUGGACAGACGUCAGGCUCCGGCGCCGGCGCCGGCGCCGGCGCGGUCGACCGCCUCAGCGCCCUCCCGGACGCGCUCCUGCACCACAUCAUGUCGUUCCUGAAGGCCUAGGAGGUGGUCCCCACCUGCGUGCUCGCGCGGCGGUGGCGCCACCUCUGGGCGUCCGCGCCCUGCGUCGACCUCCGCGUGCGCCACUCCUACGUCCGCGAUGCCAACCCGCCGGAGGAGUUCCGUGACUUCGUGGACAGCCUCUUCCUCCACCGCGAUGCGUCCGCGUCGGUGGACACGCUCCGCCUGCGGUCCAGCGACGACUAUGUGGGCUUCGACGAGAAAGAUGCCAACUCGUGGAUCAGGAAUGCUGUCAGCCGCAAAGCGCGGGUUAUUCAUCUUGUUGGACAUCGUAAGGGAGUCGCGUCGUUGGACCACGUGCCCUUCGUCUCUUGCCACCUCAAGAUCUUGAAGUUGUCGUAUGCCAGGCUCGACGAUAGGAUCCUUGGACAGCUUUCUUCUAGUUGCAAAUCCUUGGAAGAGCUGGAUCUGAAGGAUUGCUUGGUCACUGGCCCUAAGAUUGUGUCUACCUCUUUGAAGACAUUAAUCAUGCUCAAAUGCACGUUCAAUUGGGACUUCUCCAUUACUGCUCCGAACCUCGUGCUGCUGCGCCUCAUCACACCUUCCGUCCGAUUUCCGUCAUUUAUCAACUUUGGGUCACUGGUCACAGGCACCAUCAUACUUGAUGAUUCUCUCUUGUGUGAUGAUUUUGGAUACAUCAGUGAUGAAGAUAAUUUUGAUGAAACUAGUGAUGAUGAUAACCACAACGAUGAUAAGAGAGAGAACUAUAAGAUUCAUGAUGACUGUUCCUUGAGAAGAUAUGGACACAGUCGUUACAAGGAUAAUUAUGAUUAUGGUAGCGAUAUUGAUAGUGAUGACAAUACCUAUGAAUAUAGUGAGAUUGCAAAUGAUGCAAAGUAUGGCUACAAAGGGGCCAAGCUUUCUAGUGAAGAUGGUAAGUAUGGUGGAAACAGUGGUCGAAAUUAUAGUAAGAUUCUAGGUGGCCAAAAUAUGCUUGAGAGCCUUUCUACUGCUAUGAGUUUGGAGUUGUUAAGUGAUGCUGGAGAGGUGGUUCUGAGUAGGGAAUUGAAAAGGUGUCCAACAUUUAGCAACCUGAAGACCCUGUCCCUUGGUGAAUGGUGUAUGGCCGCUGAUUUCGAUGCAUUAAUUUUCCUGCUACAGCAUUCACCUAAUAUAAAGAGGCUUUUUCUCCAACUUAAAUUGAACUUCAAUACCAGAAGGGCAUCAGAAACAGGUAUCAAACUACAGGGAAGAUCAUUUACUUGCAAAGACCUUCGAAUGGUGAACAUUACAUGCUCAAAGGAUGAUGGGAGAGUCCAUGAGUUGGCAAAUUUGUUUAGGGCAAAUGGAAUACCCCUCGAGAAAAUUUAUGUCCGCCGCAGUGGGAGUGCUUAUCUCCGUAGCCAGAAGCAGAUGAAAGAAUUCGCCAGGCGUGAACUGGAGUUUUGGGGGAUGUAA
Molecule: ribosomal RNA, 1569 nt
Filed under: Triticum aestivum (bread wheat)
Lineage: Eukaryota; Viridiplantae; Streptophyta; Magnoliopsida; Poales; Poaceae
Description: partial small subunit ribosomal RNA
Source: RNAcentral